Molecule: transfer RNA, 65 nt
Filed under: Dipodomys ordii (Ord's kangaroo rat)
Lineage: Eukaryota; Metazoa; Chordata; Mammalia; Rodentia; Heteromyidae
Rfam family: tRNA
About the family: Transfer RNA (tRNA) molecules are approximately 80 nucleotides in length. Their secondary structure includes four short double-helical elements and three loops (D, anti-codon, and T loops). Further hydrogen bonds mediate the characteristic L-shaped molecular structure. tRNAs have two regions of fundamental functional importance: the anti-codon, which is responsible for specific mRNA codon recognition, and the 3' end, to which the tRNAs corresponding amino acid is attached (by aminoacyl-tRNA synthetases). tRNAs cope with the degeneracy of the genetic code in two manners: having more than one tRNA (with a specific anti-codon) for a particular amino acid; and 'wobble' base-pairing, i.e. permitting non-standard base-pairing at the 3rd anti-codon position.
Source: Rfam by way of RNAcentral
GGUGGCUCAGUGGUAGAGUGCUUGCCUUGCAUGCAUGAGGACCUGGGUUCGAUUCCGCAACACCA